AACGCACAUUGCGCCCAUUAGUAUUCUAGUGGGCAUGCCUGUUCGAGCGUCAUUUCAACCCUCAAGCCUUAGUUGCUUGGUGUUGGGAGCUUACCUUGCCGGAAGGCGGACAACUCCUUAAAACUAUUGGCGGAGUCGCGGUGACCCCAAGCGUAGUAAAUUAUUUUUCCCUCGCUUUAGGUGUUAACGCCGGCUUCUAGCCGUUAAACCCCCUAUUUUUUAGUGGUUGACCUCGGAUCAGGUAGGACUACCCGCUGAACUUAA
Molecule: unclassified non-coding RNA, 264 nt
Filed under: uncultured Sordariomycetes
Lineage: Eukaryota; Fungi; Ascomycota; Sordariomycetes
Description: sequence contains ITS2
Source: RNAcentral